GUUUUCAGUGAGAAAACAGUUAAGAAGCUUUGUUGUCUCCAUGAUAAAAAGAGUCGUCCUGGUUACGUUUCUGCGGAUUAAAAAGGAAAGGAUGUCCCUAGAUUAGCUAGAGCAGUGAGGUGACUUAAGUUACUAAUAUCCAGCCAAUGUUUUCCUUCUAGGCAAUUCCUUCUAGGCAAUUCUAGGAGAUUGGACUGUUGUAAAUUCUGAUGGGAACUUCUGGUCCCUUUCAGAAUUGGCAAGACAUCUUGUAGAAGAAUUUCAUCGCAGUAGCUGUGAAAUUGAAUUGCAGUUCAAUACCUGGUAAGUGGGGUUUUUUCCUUGUGAGAAUUGAUGAUAAACGAAUCAGGUCCAUAGUUCAACUAAUCCUCCUGCUAGAUUAAAAAAAAGGGGGGUCUAGAAUCCUUAAAAAUAAAGGACGAUCAUAGGGAUGUAAUUUUCAAAGGAGUUGAACUCCUUUAGAUAGAAAAGGGGAGUUAAUCCUUUUCCAUUUGUAACUGGGUGACUGUCAGUGAACGUACAGUCAUUUCCCUGUCAUUGGGCGUUACUAUGUCCUUCAAAUGUCUUUGAAUAAUUAUUAAGGGUUCCAUCGAUAACUCAUAACCAGGAAUCAAUUUGGUUUUGUAUACUAUUGAAAUCCAAGUCUUUCAGAUUAUGGGACAAGCCCAGAUGAAACAAAUCAGCGCAGGUGGAAUCAUGUCUCCGGCGUUUGUCUGUUUUAGUGGUAAACAUUCAGCUUAAUCUCCGUAGUUUAAAGUCCUACCUGAAUAUUAAUUUAUACAAAUUUUCGUUAAGGUUCAUUCAGAUUUUGAAGUGUGCAAUAUGUUUCCACUUCUGUGUCAUUUGUGAAAUGUACACAUGUCUCUCCUCCCAUUUAUAACGAUGGGAAGCAGAUUCACAAAUUAUCUACAUUUAAUAAGGCUUGGUUUCCUUUGCAAAAUAUAAUUUUCUUUUGUGUGUUGGGGUUAGAGGCUUACUUUGUCCCUCUUCCUUGUUUCAUGACACCGUCAAGUGUUCUUCUUAGAAAUGUGCGCAUAAGGAAAACUAUUUGUCUGUAGCAUGAUGUGCUGAUAGCUUCAGGUACUGUAUUGCGUUGUUGAUACCUGAGCAUGUUUUUUCCUAUCUACUUGGCACUGCAAACUACCAGGCAUUUUUGUUUCAUAUCUAUUUAUUUGGGCAUAUACGUCAAUCAAUCAAUCAAUCAAUCAAUCAAUCUUUAUUACGGUCCAGAGACCCAACAAAUCAUUAUAAAGCAAUACACAAUUCAUACAGCCCACCUCCAGGUCAAACAAGCAUUUUGUUCAAAAUAUAGGGAUCAUUUGUUCUUGCAACCACCGAUAAAAACUUUGCCACUGCUACUGUUCUAGCAUUUGUCCGGUCUUCCAAUAGGAACCUGACAUAGUGAGCCUCUGAUUUUCCUGGGAAAGGUAUCAUCAAGGGUAGUAUCAGUUCAGCCCUGGCUUGCUCAUAUUUUGCACAAUGCAACAAAAUAUGUUUUAUGGCAUAUAUGUACAAAUCGCAGCCAGCUUCAGACUCCCUUCUACAUAGCUAUGAUUUGUUGAAAUAAGCCAGGGUCAUGGUUUGAUGAUGUCCUUUUCAAAUAUAACAAUAAACUAUACUUAUUGAAAAAUAGAAAGCAGAUGCUUCUAAUCUCCUCACACCGUGGAAAGGACAGGAGAGGGUGUAAACCUAAGGCCUGCUUAACUGAACUAGACUGUGUACAUACAUGCAUUGAAGUUUCAUAUGGGUGUUCUUUCUUAAUAUAUAAUUGGACUACCCGCACUUUUAAGAUUCAGUUUUGUACAGUCAAAAUCUCAAGUACGUGGUAGGCCUGAUAAAUAGCACCUGAAGAACUUUGAAACAUUUUUAGGACUGUCAUGGCAAUCUUUCUACGUAAGAAAGUAUAUUUGUUUUGGCAACAGUACUUUCCCCCUGAAGUUGUAUUAGUUCCCACCCUGUGUUUCUCCAUAGGAAAGUGAACUCAACAAGAUACAAGAUUCUGCUUCCUGUUAGCAACCACAUAAAUCACACCCUCCAAAAUUUUGUUGAUGACAAUAGGGAUGUCAGAUUGUCAUUUUAUUUUUUAUUUACUAUUUAUCCCCCACCCAUAUGACUGGGUUGCCCUAGCCACUCUGGGGGCUUUCAAUAUAUAUAAAAAUAUAAUAAAACAUCAAACUUUUUUUUUAAAAAAACUUCCCUGUACAAGGCUGCCUUCAGGUGUCUUCUAAAGGCUAGUUACUUUUCUCCUUGGCUCAGUGGUUGCAUAACUCCAUACCCUCCAACAUUUUCCUGAUGAAAAUAGGGAUGUCCUAAGGCAGGGGUGCCCAAAUUUUUUCCAAAGAGGUCCAGAUUUGAUGAAGUGAACGUGCAUGAGGGCCGACCGAGGUUGUUGAACUUUUUUUAGGAUUGAAGUUGCUGAUCUUUUUUUAGGAUUUUACCCCAGGACAUAUACUGCCACGGGGGCCGAAGUACCGUACUUUUCGCUCUAUAAGACUCGCCGGACCAUAAGACGCACCUAGUUUUAGAGGAGGAGAACAAGAAAAAAAACAUUCUCUCCCUCUCUGCACAGUGCCUCUCCAGCAAAGUGGGAGGAGAAAUGGAAGGGGCUACUUUUCUCUUCCCGCUUUGCUGAAGGGGUGCUGCGCAGAGAUGGAAAGCUGUGCAGCGCCUCUCCACCCAAAGUCAGAACAGCAAGAGGGAUCGCUGUUCUGGCUUCUGGGAUAGCCGUGCCAAGCCUUUUGCAGGCUUGGCACAGCUAUCCCUGAAGCCAGGAGAGCAAGAGGGAUCGGUGUGCACCAGUCCCUCUUGCUUUCCUGGCUUCAGCGAUAGCUGCGCAGCCUGCAUUUGCUCCAUAACACACACACACAUUUCCCCUUAAUUUUUAGGAGGGGGGAAGUGCAUCUUAUAGGGCAAAAAAUACAGUAAAUGUUGGGGGCGCCGCUGUCACGGCGGACCGGAUUAGACCCCCGAAACGGACUUUGGACAUGCCUGUCCUAAGGAAAAGCAGGACAUUCUGGGAUCAAAUCAGGAACCAGGAUGGGUUCUGUAAAUCUGCGACUGUCCCUGGAAAAGAGGACACCUGAACGAUCUGCAUAUACCGCAUUUUUCGCUCCAUAGGACGCACCUGACCAUAGGACGCACCUAGUUUUAGAGGGGGAGAACAACAACAAAAAAUCUCUCCCUCUCUGAGCAGGGCCCCUUCAGCGAAGCAGCAGCAGAAACAAAGCCCCUUCCAUUUCUCCUCCCGCUUUGCUGAAGGGACGCUGCGCAGAGAGGGAGAGCUGCGCAGUGCCUCUCCAGGGAAGCCAGGAGAGCAAGAGGGAUCGGUGCGCACCGAUCCCUCUUGCUCUCCUGGCUUCAGCGAAAGCAACGCAAAGCCUCCGGAGCACGGCGGGAGUGUUCCCACUGCGCUUCGGAGGCUUCGCGUUGCUUUCGCUGAAGCCAUGGAGCCUGCAUUUGCUCCAUAAGACGCACACACAUUUCCCCAUAAUUUUUGGAGGGGAAAAAGUGCGUCUUAUAGAGCAAAAAAUACGGUAUAUAAGAUAAACAGUCCCAUACUGGAAGGCACAUUAAUGAUCUGGGUUUGGAAGGCAUACUUUUCAUCUUUCUGGAGUCCCCAAAUAGGAUGCUGGGUGACCUUGAGCAUGCGAGACAGAUCUAGAUGCUGGCAGAUUGCCUUCUUCCCCAGACUGGGUUGUGUCAGUCGGAUUACUUAGACACACAACUGUGACGUGGGGUGGAGCUAAGGGUCUAAGCUCUGCUGCAGCAUCUUUCCUGGGAGGAGGUGAGGAGUCAGAUUAGAAAGGUGAGAAAAGCACAGAGGGGUCAUUAAGCUGGGUGGCGGCAGCGCACAUGCAUGAACCACAGGCUCUCUUAUGCAGAAGGGCGCACAUGCGUUCCACUUCUCCGUGAUACAGGAGUGUGAGAGGAUAAGCUUGGAUGAGUUUUAUGCACGCUGGUUUUAGGGCUCAACUUUGGAACUGAUAUACCUAGUCCUCUGAAGUUCUGCGUGCCAAGGAAAUUUGAGUACUGAGUCCUAAAACUGCAUUCCUCUUUAUGUACCGUAUUUUUUGCUCUAUAAGACGCACCAGACCAUAAGACGCACCUAGUUUUUGGAGGAGGAAAACAAGAAAAAAAUUAUUCUGAAUCUCAGAAGCCAGAACAGCAAGAGGGAUCGCUGUGCUGUUCUGGCUUCUGGGAUAGUUGCGCAGCCUGCAUUCGCUCCAUAAGACGCACACACAUUUCCCCUUACUUUUUAGGAGGGAAAAAAUGAGAGCAAAAAAUACGGUAAUUAGUAUGUUUCAUUGUUUAGUUGAUUGCUGAUUUCUCCCCAAGCCAUAAAGAACUCUUACCAAGGCUAUGAAUUUUCAAGGGAUGUUUUCUGGAAUCACUGUAUUGGAUAAACAGCAUUAAAAAUGUGUAAGCAGAUUAUAUUAUAUACAGAUUGCUAGGUGUUUGAAAUUCAUUGAACAGUAUUUUACCGUUGAAAACAAAACAAGAAACCCCCUCUGUUUGGCUUGUCAAAUACUGAAUGAUCUAAACCUAGUUAUUUCCUGCAUGAUUCCAUUUCUACCUGUCAUAGGAGCCAACUCCUAGGGGCUGAGGUCCCUCUGUCCCCCCAAUAAAAUAUUUUAAGGGAUUGUCCCCCCAUAUUUAUGGGCAUUACCAUUCAAAUUGUGUGUGUGUGCCUGGUCUUGUGAUUGAUUAUGUGGAGCAGGGCCUAUCUGCCCCCUCCCGUAUUUUAUUCAAAUUGUCACCUCUGUUACCUGUAUAGCUAUGGAAAGUAUAGUAUUCGUUUGUUUCUAUCCCUGCCUAAUCAAAUGAUAACCUAGCACAGACCAGUUAGUUUUGUCAGGCAGGAUAGAAAUUCAGAAAUUAGGUAAUCUAAAAAUUAGACGACCCAAGGUUGAGAAAGGCUGUAUUUAUUAAAAACAACAAGGGCUUUCCUCCUAUUCCGAAUGAUUUAUUCAUUGCAAUUUUUAUCCAGCUUUCUUGACUCUGGAUGUCCCAUAUGCUUUGUUAUUUUUAGGAAAUGGAUGGUUCUGAUCUGAUUUAUAUAACUCCUUUGUUUGAAUGCUGGCGAUAAAUAGGCAGAUUACUUCUGCUUAGCAAAUAGAGUUGUCAAAGGAGUGUAUGUGGAUUUACCCCGAAUUGACAUACCAGCAACUGAAGCUACUGUAUGAGGAAAUCAGGAAAUAGAUGGAGACCUAAAUGAAUAGCUACUGCUGAAGGUGUUUUAGUGCAGGUUUGUGGGAAGAAAACCUGGAAGGAAAUAGUAAUCAGAGGCAGGCAUAACUGUGUUCGUUUACAAAAGUGCAAAUAAUAUAUAGCUGUUAAACCAAUGACUACAGCGGCAUAGACACCAUACAUUCAAUGCAUGUGAUGCCCUCCCCAAUAAUUCUGGAAACUAGUUUGUUAAGGCUGCUGGGAAUUUCAGACCCUCUAAGUGCCCCUAUUUUCCAGAGACAUCCCUGAUUUAGAGAAGCCGUCCCGGUUUCUGAUUUGAUCCCAGAAUGUCUCACUUUCCCCUAUUUUCAUUGGAGAAAUGUUGGAGGGUAUGGAGUUAUUCGAUUCCUGAGCAGUCUGAAGGCAAUCUUGUUCAGGGAAGGGUGGGUUUUUUUUAAAUGAUUAAUGUUUUGUUAUGUUUUUAUAUCUGUUGGAAGCUGCCCAGAGUAGCUGCUGCAACCCAGUAAGAUGUGUGGGGGGUAUAAAUAGUAAAAUUAUCAUUAUGGUACGGGACGUCCCUAUUUUCAUUUGAGAAAUGUUGGAGGGGAUAGCUCUGGAGUGUCUGCAGCCUUUACUUUUAAAAAUCUUGCAGUUUUGGGUUUUUUUUAUAAAAAAAAACAGCCAGGAACCUACUAAAACUCACACUCUCGCCAUGUUAGAGAGAAAUUUCACAACCAACAUUUGCUAUUUAGGUGUGUGGGAUUAUUAUCAUUGUUGUAGUUAUUAUUAGCCGUGCUUUUUUCCCCCGGGGGGGCGCAUACCCCUAAACAUUUUGUGAAUCUUUGUACUUUUGUCCGUUUACUGUAUUCAAUUUCCCCGAUUUGAACUAUAAAAUGGUGGUUUUCUUGAGUCAAAAUGAGAAUACAGUGGUACCUCGGGUUAAGUACUUAAUUCGUUCUGGAGGUCCGUACUUAAGCUGAAACUGUUCUUAACCUGAAGCACCACUUUAGCUAAUGGGGCCUCCCACUGCCGCCGCACGAUUUCUGUUCUCAUCCUGAAGCAAAGUUCUUAACCUGAAGCGCUGUUUCUAGGUUAGCGGAGUCUGUAACCUGAAGAGUAUGUAACCUGAAGCGUAUGUAACCCAGGUACCACUGUACCCCUAAACAUUUCUUUUAGGGGGGAAAAGCAGUCGCUGCUGCUGCUGCUGCUGCUUUUAAAAGAUAAUAUGGAACCAAAGCAACAGUGCCAUUCCAUCACUCCUGCCUCACCCCAAGAACCAGCCACAAAGUACAAAAUUCCACCCUGCUUGUUGUCUCCCCCACCUCUUCUCCCUUUGGCACAUGUUUGCAUUAUCGAGACAUUCCUCUUUCCCCUCCCUCUCUCCCCUCUCACACUCCCUCCCCUUUCUAUCCUUAUCUCCUAUCUGCAGCGAUUUGCCAUCUUAUGGUAUUAACUUUUCAGACACAGGGAUACAGCUUUCCACGCGCUCCCAACUGCGCCUGCCUCUCGCAUCUUCCUCCCAUCUCUCUCUGUUCUCCUUAGCUAUCUUUUAAUGACGGUGGAGUACCCAGAACGGCAGAAGAAAGGAAGC
Non-coding RNA from Podarcis lilfordi (Lilford's wall lizard), 6757 nucleotides. The record is from the annotation of a GenBank genome assembly. Lineage: Eukaryota; Metazoa; Chordata; Lepidosauria; Squamata; Lacertidae.